RNAcentral lists this ribosomal RNA (253 nucleotides) under uncultured bacterium. RNAcentral's name for it is "partial 16S ribosomal RNA". It matches the Rfam family "Bacterial small subunit ribosomal RNA", at positions 524 to 776 of the family's 1533-position model. The record is from RNAcentral.
GACGAACCGUGCGAACGUUGUUCGGAAUCACUGGGCUUAAAGGGCGCGUAGGCGGGCCGUCAAGUCCGGGGUGAAAUCCUCCAGCCUAACUGGAGAAGAGCCUCGGAUACUGGCGGCCUUGAGGGGGGUAGGGGCAAGCGGAACUAUGGGUGGAGCGGUGAAAUGCAUUGAUAUCCAUAGGAACUCCGGUGGCGAAGGCGGCUUGCUGGACCCCAUCUGACGCUGAGGCGCGAAAGCCAGGGGAGCAAACGGG